AAAAAACUUUCAGCAAUGGAUGUCUUGGCUCGCGCAUCGAUGAAGGACGCAGCGAAAUGCGAUACGCAUUGUGAU
RNAcentral lists this ribosomal RNA (75 nucleotides) under Eimeria caviae. RNAcentral's name for it is "partial 5.8S ribosomal RNA". It matches the Rfam family "5.8S ribosomal RNA", at positions 1 to 71 of the family's 154-position model. From Rfam's summary of the family: 5.8S ribosomal RNA (5.8S rRNA) is a component of the large subunit of the eukaryotic ribosome. It is transcribed by RNA polymerase I as part of the 45S precursor that also contains 18S and 28S rRNA. Functionally, it is thought that 5.8S rRNA may be involved in ribosome translocation. Lineage: Eukaryota; Apicomplexa; Conoidasida; Eucoccidiorida; Eimeriidae. The record is from RNAcentral.